This 497-nucleotide ribosomal RNA is filed under the name uncultured bacterium. RNAcentral's name for it is "partial 16S ribosomal RNA". It matches the Rfam family "Bacterial small subunit ribosomal RNA", at positions 28 to 507 of the family's 1533-position model. The record is from RNAcentral.
GAUGAACGCUGGCGGCGUGCCUAAUACAUGCAAGUCGAGCGAACAGACGAGGAGCUUGCUCCUCUGACGUUAGCGGCGGACGGGUGAGUAACACGUGGAUAACCUACCUAUAAGACUGGGAUAACUUCGGGAAACCGGAGCUAAUACCGGAUAAUAUAUUGAACCGCAUGGUUCAAUAGUGAAAGACGGUUUUGCUGUCACUUAUAAAUGGAUCCGCGCCGCAUUAGCUAGUUGGUAAGGUAACGGCUUACCAAGGCAACGAUGGGUAGCCGACCUGAGAGGGUGAUCGGCCACACUGGAACUGAGACACGGUCCAGACUCCUACGGGAGGCAGCAGUAGGGAAUCUUCCGCAAUGGGCGAAAGCCUGACGGAGCAACGCCGCGUGAGUGAUGAAGGUCUUCGGAUCGUAAAACUCUGUUAUUAGGGAAGAACAAAUGUGUAAGUAACUAUGCACGUCUUGACGGUACCUAAUCAGAAAGCCACGGCUAACUACGUG